Molecule: ribosomal RNA, 465 nt
Filed under: uncultured bacterium
Lineage: Bacteria
Description: partial 16S ribosomal RNA
Rfam family: Bacterial small subunit ribosomal RNA
Source: RNAcentral
CCUACGGGUGACAGCAGUGGGGAAUAUUGCGCAAUGGGCGAAAGCCUGACGCAGCGACGCCGCGUGAGGGAUGAAGGCCUUCGGAUCGUAAACCUCUGUCAGCAGGGAAGAACGGUCACUGUGCUAAUCAGUAGUGAAUUGACGGUACCUGCAAAGGAAGCACCGGCUAACUCCGUGCCAGCAGCCGCGGUAAUACGGAGGGUGCGAGCGUUAAUCGGAAUUACUGGGCGUAAAGCGCUCGUAGGCGGUAUGUCAAGUCAAGGGUGAAAGCCCCGCGCUCAACGUGGGAACUGCCUUUGAAACUGGCAAACUGGAGUAUGUGAGAGGAUAGUGGAAUUCGAGGUGUAGGAGUGAAAUCCGUAGAUAUCAGGAGGAACAUCAAUGGCGAAGGCAACUAUCUGGCACGUAACUGACACUGAGGAGCGAAAGCGUGGGUAGCAAACAGGAUUAGAUACCCUGGUAGUC